GAUGAACGCUGGCGGCGUGCCUAAUACAUGCAAGUCGAGCGAACGGACGAGAAGCUUGCUUCUCUGAUGUUAGCGGCGGACGGGAGAGUAACACGUGGACAACCUAACUAUAAGACUGGGAUAACUUCGGGAAACCGGAGCUAAUACCGGAUAAUAUUUUGAACCGCAUGGUUCAAAAGUGAAAGACGGUCUUGCGGUCACUUAUAGAUGGAUCCGCGCUGCAUUAGCUAGUUGGUAAGGUAACGGCUUACCAAGGCAACUAUGCAUAGCCGACCUGAGAGGGUGGUCGGCCACACUGGAACUGAGACACGGUCCAGACUCCUACGGGGGGCAGCAGUAGGGAAUCUUCCGCGAUGGGCGAGUGCCUGACGGUGCAACGCCGCGUGAGUGAUGAAGGUCUUCGGAUCGUAGAGCUCUGUUAUUAGUGGGGAUCAUAUGUGUAAGUAACUGUGCACAUCUUGACGGUACCUAAUCAGAAAGCCCCGGCUAACUACGUG
RNAcentral lists this ribosomal RNA (497 nucleotides) under uncultured bacterium. RNAcentral's name for it is "partial 16S ribosomal RNA". It matches the Rfam family "Bacterial small subunit ribosomal RNA", at positions 28 to 507 of the family's 1533-position model. The record is from RNAcentral.